RNAcentral lists this long non-coding RNA (1862 nucleotides) under Paramuricea clavata. The record is from RNAcentral. Lineage: Eukaryota; Metazoa; Cnidaria; Anthozoa; Malacalcyonacea; Plexauridae.
UUUAUAGGAGUUAAUAUGGCGGAAUACGAAAUAGAGCCACUAAAAGUGCUCUAGCUUUUUAUGUAUCCAAGCAAAACUCAUGAUACUUUGAAAUAUCAUAAAGAAGAGGUUGUUCUUUGAUUUAAUUGUUACUAUGAGGAUGAGAAACGAAUUUAAGCGUGGAAUUUGGCCAUUGUCAUACAUAGAUUAAUUUCACGUCGGUCUUUGGCGAAUAGUGAUAAACAUAUAAAGUUAUAUAGCUUAUGUGUGGUUAGUCCGAUCGCCGUAAAAUAUGUUUUGAGUGAUAGGUUGGUGAUAUUUCAUGGUGUACAAAAGGAUUAAGGACGUGAAUGCCAUGAACAAUGAAGGAAAUAAAUCGAGUUCAUCGAACCUUCUGUGAAUCUGGGAUCACCUAUUCAAUACAGUGUAAUUCAACUUGGCAUAUUGGCCUACAAUCGUUUAAUAUAAAAUAAUAUUGCGAUAUGAAAGAAAUUGCUGGACCUACUUCUUCAAAAAUGAAUUUUGGGGAUAAUAUAUUGACUUGAACCUAUUGAAAUCCUUUGGCUGUGACUUUACAAAUUUGGUAUCACAAGUGACAAGGCCUCCUAUGACAUUAUCAUGACUGUUCAUUGAUAUUGAAAAAAUAGUUUAAAGAUCAAUGCUUGGAUGAAUCAGGGAACUUCAUUUACAAAACAGACAAUAAGAGACCUGAUUUAUCUUAACGACAGUUUAAAUUAUAAAUCUGUGAGAUUCUAAUAUACACUCUAGUUUUUAAGAUACAUAUUAACAGUUUACUCUACAAUGAGGGGAAAAUAAUCUGAAUAUGAGAAUUUUCUCUGUUUCAAGUUUAUGUUACAUUUAGCACCAAGUAUAUUAUUGUUGCUAUCACCUUAGGGGCUGUUUACAUGAGCCCGGCUAGCCAUGCAGGCUGGCCCGGUUAACCAGGCUGAAGGCCUGGCUAGCCAGGAGGUUACCUGAGCUGGUGACUUUACAUGGAGAAAUUUGAAGCCCGGUUAUCCGGGCAUCCCAUUUGACUCAAGUGAGAUCUCGGCUAGGCAGAUUCCUGUUAAAUGAUUUGUAUUAAGCUGGGUGCCUCGCUUAACAGGACUAGUCGGGCUCAUGUAAAUAGCCCCUUAGUUAUUAAGACUUGUUGGCAGAGUAAAAUAUAUCAGGCAAUAAAACUGGUUUCAACUUGCAACAAAUCAGAUGUUGGUGCAUGUAAGUUGUAGUGUUGUUUUUACAAAGGGAACCAAGUAAAUGAAACUUUAACAUCUAGUGUAUUCUACUGAGUACAAGUUGUACAACUCCAAAAAUGUAAACAACACUUUGAUUUGAUUUUAGUUCCAUAAAUCCAUAUUUUUUAUCCAUAUUAUCAAUCCAUAUUUAAUUUGAUUUUAGUUCCAUAAAUCCAUAUAAUUUAGUUCCAUAAAUUUGAGUUUAGAUCCAUAAAUCUAUUAAGAUCUGCAACUGUCCUACAUGCACAAAUGCCAUCCAAUGUAAUAAACUAGAUGAUAACAGGAAGCAGUUUUGUUUCUUUAAGGACUUUGAUCAAACAGAAAACACAUUUGAAGGUCUUCAUGUUCCAACAAAUUGCUUUCUGGACUACAUCAAGGAAGAUACAAAAAUUGUUUUUGAGGUUGUGCAUUUACUACAGCUUGAAAUUUGCCAAUUGUGAACUUUCCAACACUAAAAAGAAGAACAGAAAAUAUUUGAAGGUAGCACAUCUUUAAAGGCACAGUUCAGCCUUUUGAACGAUGGUUUUUAAGGCGCAUUUCAGCCCUUUUAAUUGAAAAAACUAACUAGGAAAAUCAAUUAAGUAUAAUUCAAAAUCAGUAAACUUGAUGCUUUAACAAUAAAAAUGUUUUAAAAUGUUAAAAACAUCG